GACGAACCACACAAACGUUAUUCGGAAUUACUGGGCUUAAAGGGUGCGUAGGCUGCGCAGAAAGUUGGGUGUGAAAUCCCUCGGCUCAACCGAGGAACUGCGCCCAAAACUACUGUGCUCGAGGGAGACAGAGGUGAGCGGAACUUAGGGUGGAGCGGUGAAAUGCGUUGAUAUCCUAAGGAACACCCGUGGCGAAAGCGGCUCACUGGGUCUCUUCUGACGCUGAGGCACGAAAGCUAGGGUAGCGAACGGG
RNAcentral lists this ribosomal RNA (253 nucleotides) under uncultured bacterium. RNAcentral describes it as "partial 16S ribosomal RNA". It matches the Rfam family "Bacterial small subunit ribosomal RNA", at positions 524 to 776 of the family's 1533-position model. The record is from RNAcentral.